AAAUUGAAGAGUUUGAUCAUGGCUCAGAUUGAACGCUGGCGGCAGGCCUAACACAUGCAAGUCGAACGGUAACAGGAAGCAGCUUGCUGCUUCGCUGACGAGUGGCGGACGGGUGAGUAAUGUCUGGGAAACUGCCUGAUGGAGGGGGAUAACUACUGGAAACGGUGGCUAAUACCGCAUAACGUCGCAAGACCAAAGAGGGGGACCUUCGGGCCUCUUGCCAUCAGAUGUGCCCAGAUGGGAUUAGCUUGUUGGUGAGGUAACGGCUCACCAAGGCGACGAUCCCUAGCUGGUCUGAGAGGAUGACCAGCCACACUGGAACUGAGACACGGUCCAGACUCCUACGGGAGGCAGCAGUGGGGAAUAUUGCACAAUGGGCGCAAGCCUGAUGCAGCCAUGCCGCGUGUAUGAAGAAGGCCUUCGGGUUGUAAAGUACUUUCAGCGGGGAGGAAGGUGUUGCGGUUAAUAACCGCAGCAAUUGACGUUACCCGCAGAAGA
Molecule: ribosomal RNA, 498 nt
Filed under: Salmonella enterica
Lineage: Bacteria; Pseudomonadati; Pseudomonadota; Gammaproteobacteria; Enterobacterales; Enterobacteriaceae
Description: bacterial SSU rRNA
Rfam family: Bacterial small subunit ribosomal RNA
Source: RNAcentral